GUGAGGUAACGGCUCACCAAGGCAUCGACGGGUAGCUGGUCUGAGAGGACGAUCAGCCACACUGGGACUGAGACACGGCCCAGACUCCUACGGGAGGCAGCAGCAGGGAAUAUUGCACAAUGGGCGAAAGCCUGAUGCAGCGACGCCGCGUGAGGGAUGACGGCCUUCGGGUUGUAAACCUCUUUCAGGAAGGACGAAGCGAAAGUGACGGUACUUCCAGAAGAAGCCCCGGCCAACUACGUGCCAGCAGCCGCGGUAAUACGUAGGGGGCAAACGUUGUCCGGAUUUAUUGGGCGUAAAGAGCUCGUAGGCGGCUCAGCAAGUCGGCCGUGAAAGCCCGAGGCUCAACCUCGGGAGGCCGGUCGAAACUGCUGUGGCUAGGGUCCGGUAGAGGAGAGUGGAAUUCCCGGUGUAGCGGUGAAAUGCGCAGAUAUCGGGAGGAACACCAGUAGCGAAGGCGGCUCUCUGGGCCGGUACCGACGCUGAGGAGCGAAAGCUAGGGGAGCAAACAGGAUUAGAUACCCUGGUAGUCCUAGCUGUAAACGUUGGGCACUAGGUGUGGCGGAUUCAUUGACAUCUGCCGUGCCGAAGCUAACGCAUUAAGUG
This 606-nucleotide ribosomal RNA is filed under the name uncultured Actinomycetes bacterium. RNAcentral's name for it is "bacterial SSU rRNA". It matches the Rfam family "Bacterial small subunit ribosomal RNA", at positions 252 to 866 of the family's 1533-position model. The record is from RNAcentral. Lineage: Bacteria; Bacillati; Actinomycetota; Actinomycetes.